Molecule: long non-coding RNA, 586 nt
Filed under: Salmo salar (Atlantic salmon)
Lineage: Eukaryota; Metazoa; Chordata; Actinopteri; Salmoniformes; Salmonidae
Description: lncRNA (ENSSSAG00000115428.1)
Source: RNAcentral
GUCUAGUAGAGCUGUGUUGUGAUGGGACGGGUCUAGUCGUGCUGUCCUGAGGCGGGUCUGGUCUGGUAAAUAUGUGUUGUGAUGGGCCUGGUCUAGUAGAGCUGUGUUGUGAUGGGACGGGUCUGGUCCAGUAGAGCUGUGUUGUGAUGGGUCUGGUCUAGUAGAGCUGUGUUGUGAUGGGUCUGGUCUAGUAGAGCUGUGUUGUGAUGGGCCAGGUCUAGUAGAGCUGUGUUGUGAUGGGUCUGGUCUAGUAGAGCUGUGUUGUGAUGGGUCUGGUCUAGUAGAGCUGUGUUGUGAUGGGCCUGGUCUAGUAGAGCUGUGUUGUGAUGGGUCUGGUCUAGUAGAGCUGUGUUGGGAUGGGCCAGGUCUAGUAGAGCUGUGUUGGGAUGGGCCAGGUCUAGUAGAGCUGUGUUGUGAUGGGUCUGGUCUAGUAGAGCUGUGUUGGGAUGGGCCUGGUCUAGUAGAGCUGUGUUGUGAUGGGUCUGGUCUAGUAGAGCUGUGUUGGGAUGGGCCAGGUCUAGUAGAGCUGUGUUGGGAUGGGUCUGGUCUAGUAGAGCUGUGUUGUGAUGGGUCUGGUCUAGUAGAG